CAUAAACCACAAAAAACAAGAGAUCCCUCACUGUCAAUACUCAAAACCACUUAAGACCAUAAAGAUAAAAACCUAAACCACCAAGACCCAAUCAAUCGUACUCGCAGGUCCAAAAGAAUAAAAACAUCCAUCAGAUCAAAACAUGAAAACCCACCCUAGAUUCGAAAACCCUGAAAACAAAAACCCAAUUCUGGCAAAACCAGGGUGAAAGAAGGGUAAAACUCCUUUGAUGAUAGAGAGAGAAGGGAGGAUUCCGUGAGAGGAAAGAGAGAGAAGGGACAGAGGCAGCGAGAGAGAGAGAAAGGCGUGCCUAAGCUUUGCUUUAAGAUUCAUUGCUUUAAGAUUCAUUGCUUUAAGACUUAGCUUUUUAGGGAAGAAAAGUUUUAUUUUAAUGUUAUGGUACUCAGUACUUAAGAGCUUAUCAUAUUAGGGAACAAAUGGAGCAGUUCGGGAUGAAACUUUACUGCAACUUUCGACUCCUGUUAUGUUCGUACAGGGUCAUCUGUGGUGCAAAGAUAUCAGUAUGACGAAUCCUCUUUCUUCUUUUGGUGAUCUUGACUGUUUGACUCACUUUCCCACUUGCAGUUGAAUGAGGGGUGGCCGCAUAACAGAUAGUAUCAGACUUAGAGCAUAAAUGUUGAGAAUGUGCAUGAAUUUUCAUAAAGUCAUAGAUAGCCCUGAAAUGGUUUAAUUCACAGUACAUUUUUAGGUAUAAUGACUGAAAUAUUCUUAUGAUUAUAUAAUAAGACAAUGUGUCCUCGGACAAUUAAAAUAAGAAAACAUUAGAGGCAACAUAGGUACGGAAAAUUACAAAUACAUGAUUACCGUUCAAACUGAUGUGAAUGUCUGUUAAGAAUAGGUUUGUCCUCUGUAACAUGAUGUCCCUAUUGGGCAAUAGCUUUAGUAAAAAUGUUAGCUGUCUGCUUUGCAGAUGAAACAUCCUGAGAUGGGGAGUAUCAUCCCCAUAAUUAUUAUAAAUCUAAUACAAGUUACAUUAAGGUUCAUAUGCAUAUGCCCAAUAAUCAUCUGGAUGUACAUAGCAUCCAAGAUAGAAGUAGUACUGGAUAAAAGCACCCAAUCGAGAGUUUGAUGAACAAUUAGUGUAGAAAGCAAUGAAUGGCUAAAAUAUAAGGUCAUUGGGGGCUUUCCAAUACCAGCUUUUGGAUUUGAGAAAUCACAAGAUAUCCAUAUCCUAAUGUGGUGAAAUUGGACCCUUGAAUGUCGACCGGGCUAGGAUUCAGGCUCUUGCUGAAGGUUCACUGUAGAUAAUUCCUAACAUGGCAUCCUCUGGGAUACGGCAAGCUUGACUACACAUUUCAUAAUUUUGCAUAUGUUAAUUUUUAUCUCCAUUUAUGGGACAAUUGUAAGAUGCAUUGUUUUCAAGACAUGGUUUCUUACAUUACAUGACUAUCAAUGAUCCUGCCUUUGCAGCUAUGGAUCAUGGUACUCCAUGCUAUGACUAUGGCCAUUUGCAGUAUGGAAGCUUGCAAUUUCAUUUGAGACGAUCUCAUUCUAAAAAAUGAUUUGGAAUAUUUUUUAAUAUUUUAGAGGAAAAAUGAUUAAGAAUAUUUUUCUAUUCCUUUAUUUUUUUUGGGGUAGGUCGGCAUAUCAUCAUCAUCAUCAUUUGACAAUUUCACAAAUUUCGUUAUGUGCAGUGACUUUUGGAUGAACAAAUUGCUCGGAUCUGACUUUUUGUCAUUGUACUCUUGCAUUGUGCAUAUAUUUUGCAACUUUUUUUUCUUGCUCUUUAGGGGUUUUCAUGUAUUUCUAGAUAUCUUCGCCAGCCAUGUUUUGCUAUUUAUAUCUUGGUUCAUGUAACAUCGUAUAAUGUCUGGUCAACUGAAGACUUGAGAAAGUGCUCCAUUGCAGCUCCUGACCAUGACAUUGACCCCUCUCUUAUGUAUCCUCCACAUUCUUGUAUCAACUGUUUGCUUUGCUUCUUUGAAGAUAUGGAUGGUAUCUAGUUCGUCCUUGUCACAAGAUUAGAAUAGUUAUGAAGGGGCAUAAACAUUGGAAGGCCCUGGUGCUUGACUGUUAACUCUAUUGAACUCCAGGAGUUAACAGGAUGGAUGUGGGCAUUUAAGAAUUAAAAUGAUUUUGGUCGGUUUGUCAUUUGACUUACUGUUGUAAACUUGUUCUGGAUUAAUACAAUGGUUUGUUAGUUUAUCA
This is a non-coding RNA of Amborella trichopoda, 2169 nucleotides long. NCBI's taxonomy places the organism in Eukaryota, Viridiplantae, Streptophyta, Magnoliopsida, Amborellales, Amborellaceae. The record is from RefSeq and is a predicted model, not a curated record.